UUGCCAGCCCGCUCAGAAACUCACAGGAAUUGACGGGGGCCCGCACAAGCGGAGGAGCAUGUGGUUUAAUUCGAUGAUACGCGAGGAACCUUACCUGGGCUCGAACGUAAGAUGACUGUAGGUGAAAGCUUACAUCUCUUCGGAGCAUUUUACGAGGUGCUGCAUGGUUGUCGUCAGCUCGUGCCGUGAGGUGUCGGGUUAAGUCCCAUAACGAGCGCAACCCCUAUCAUUAGUUGCCAUCAGGUCAAGCUGGGGACUCUAAUGAAACUGCCUACGCAAGUAGUGAGGAAGGUGGGGAUGACGUCAAAUCAGCACGGCCCUUACGUCCGGGGCUACACACGUGCUACAAUGGCCGGUACAAAGGGUUGCGAAGCCGUGAGGUGGAGCGAAUCUCAAAAAGCCGGCCUCAGUUCGGAUUGGAGGCUGCAACUCGCCUCCAUGAAGUCGGAAUCGCUAGUAACCGCAGAUCAGCUACGUUGCGGUGAAUACGUUCCCGGGCCUU
This 502-nucleotide ribosomal RNA is filed under the name uncultured Sphingobacteriales bacterium. Its description in RNAcentral is "bacterial SSU rRNA". It matches the Rfam family "Bacterial small subunit ribosomal RNA", at positions 905 to 1382 of the family's 1533-position model. Lineage: Bacteria; Pseudomonadati; Bacteroidota; Sphingobacteriia; Sphingobacteriales. The record is from RNAcentral.